CCUACGGGAGGCAGCAGUAGGGAAUCUUCCGCAAUGGACGAAAGUCUGACGGAGCAACGCCGCGUGAACGAUGAAGGCCUUCGGGUCGUAAAGUUCUGUUGUUAGGGAAGAACAAGUGCUAGUUAAAUAAGCUGGCACCUUGACGGUACCUAACCAGAAAGCCACGGCUAACUACGUGCCAGCAGCCGCGGUAAUACGUAGGUGGCAAGCGUUGUCCGGAAUUAUUGGGCGUAAAGCGCGCGCAGGCGGUUUCUUAAGUCUGAUGUGAAAGCCCCCGGCUCAACCGGGGAGGGUCAUUGGAAACUGGGAAACUUGAGUGCAGAAGAGGAAAGUGGAAUUCCAAGUGUAGCGGUGAAAUGCGUAGAGAUUUGGAGGAACACCAGUGGCGAAGGCGACUUUCUGGUCUGUAACUGACGCUGAGGCGCGAAAGCGUGGGGAGCAAACAGGAUUAGAUACCCUGGUAGUCCACGCUGUAAACGAUGAGUGCUAAGUGUUAGAGGGUUUCCGCCCUUUAGUGCUGAAGUUAACGCAUUAAGCACUCCGCCUGGGGAGCGGUCGCAAGACUGAAACUCAAAGGAUUGACGGCUGNGAGNGCGACGCGACGACGAGGGAGAGG
Molecule: ribosomal RNA, 616 nt
Filed under: uncultured bacterium
Lineage: Bacteria
Description: bacterial SSU rRNA
Rfam family: Bacterial small subunit ribosomal RNA
Source: RNAcentral